Molecule: long non-coding RNA, 203 nt
Filed under: Prunus persica (peach)
Lineage: Eukaryota; Viridiplantae; Streptophyta; Magnoliopsida; Rosales; Rosaceae
Description: long non-coding RNA (PPER_LNC000726)
Source: RNAcentral
CUGAGUUUAGGAUCAAAUUGUGUAAAUAUGCCUUUGAGAAGGAGUUUAAGUUUGUACAUGUGAAAAAUGAUUUGAAACGUGUGACAACAGAAUGUGUGAAUAAGCAAAGUGAAGGUUGCCCUUGGCGCGUGCAUGAAACUGAUAAAAGAUGGUGGUGAUACCAUUUUGGAAUUUCUGGACACUAUACCCAAAGAAAGUUCGUC